Molecule: unclassified non-coding RNA, 161 nt
Filed under: uncultured fungus
Lineage: Eukaryota; Fungi
Description: sequence contains ITS1
Source: RNAcentral
UUGUUGAGAACCGCCGCGCGUGCGUAGAGCUCCUCUUCAAGAUACACCCUUGUCUUUUUUGUGCACUUUCUGUUUCCUCGGCAGCUCUUUGCCUGCCAGCGGGGACCCCCAAACAACCUCUUGCAAUCUCAGUAUAACGUUCUGAAAAAAACAAACUAUUA